GGAGGAGUGGCCGAGUGGCCGAUGGCGGCGGUCUUGAAAACCGUUGUACCGCAAGGUACCGUGGGUUCGAAUCCUACCUCCUCCGCCA
RNAcentral lists this transfer RNA (88 nucleotides) under Thermodesulfovibrionia bacterium. Its description in RNAcentral is "tRNA-Ser". It matches the Rfam family "tRNA". From Rfam's summary of the family: Transfer RNA (tRNA) molecules are approximately 80 nucleotides in length. Their secondary structure includes four short double-helical elements and three loops (D, anti-codon, and T loops). Further hydrogen bonds mediate the characteristic L-shaped molecular structure. tRNAs have two regions of fundamental functional importance: the anti-codon, which is responsible for specific mRNA codon recognition, and the 3' end, to which the tRNAs corresponding amino acid is attached (by aminoacyl-tRNA synthetases). tRNAs cope with the degeneracy of the genetic code in two manners: having more than one tRNA (with a specific anti-codon) for a particular amino acid; and 'wobble' base-pairing, i.e. permitting non-standard base-pairing at the 3rd anti-codon position. The record is from RNAcentral. Lineage: Bacteria; Pseudomonadati; Nitrospirota; Thermodesulfovibrionia.